GUGCUCAUUUUAGCAGUACAUAUACUGAAAUUGGAAUGACACAGAGAUGAUUAUCAUGGACCCUGUGCAAGAAUGACACACAAACUCAUAACUCCUUCCAUAUAUUU
Nannospalax galili (Upper Galilee mountains blind mole rat) is the source of this 107-nucleotide small nuclear RNA. Lineage: Eukaryota; Metazoa; Chordata; Mammalia; Rodentia; Spalacidae. The record is from Ensembl.